RNAcentral lists this transfer RNA (75 nucleotides) under Rhodospirillales bacterium. Its description in RNAcentral is "tRNA-Thr". It matches the Rfam family "tRNA". Rfam says of the family: Transfer RNA (tRNA) molecules are approximately 80 nucleotides in length. Their secondary structure includes four short double-helical elements and three loops (D, anti-codon, and T loops). Lineage: Bacteria; Pseudomonadati; Pseudomonadota; Alphaproteobacteria; Rhodospirillales. The record is from RNAcentral.
GCCGCCUUAGCUCAGGGGUAGAGCAACUGAUUCGUAAUCAGUAGGUCCGCGGUUCAAAUCCGCGAGGCGGCACCA